Molecule: long non-coding RNA, 4145 nt
Organism: Mirounga angustirostris (Northern elephant seal)
Lineage: Eukaryota; Metazoa; Chordata; Mammalia; Carnivora; Phocidae
Exons: 4
Source: RefSeq, a predicted model, not a curated record
GCGGGGUGGGCUGCCGGAGGGGCGCGGCUCGGCGAGCGGCCAGUUGUGCGGGAGGUGGCUGCGUCCUUUCGAAAGCGAGGGCGCAGCUGGGCCGAUCUUUGUUCUUUUGAGACAAAGCCCCUGAACUUGGGUCCUCGCUUUGUGCAGGUGCAAGUGCUCGUGCAUGCAAAGCCCGUGGUGGGGAAAGGGUUUAAUACAGGAGGUCGCCGUUUCACAGGACUGGUUCGAAUCUCACGACACCCAAGAUUUCUGCUGUUAAAAUGGUGGAUUAAGUGUUCAUGCCAGUAAGCAAUCCUUGUUUUGCACAAUGCAGUGUACACAGAACCCUGAUUUGCAACUUUGGUAUCUCUCUCUGUUUACUGGGAGCAUCUACCUCAUGGAACUGCCGGUAUUGAUCAGUAUCCUAUGUAACAGCCCCUUGCACCAAAGCCCCUUCCUGAGACAAAGCAUACUGUAUCAGUGAGGAUGCCUUUUGCUGCAAGUACCAGAAGCUCCAGCCCAAAUUGGAAUAAACAAUAAAGGGAUGUUUUUUUCUCAGAAAACAAAAGAUCCAAAGGCUUCCCUGUUGCUGUGUGGUCCCAAAGUGAAGCUGAGGAGCCACCAGAAAACAUCAGAAGCUUUCAUCCAGAAGCCUGAGGAGAGCCCUGCCCUUCCUCAAGAGAGAGAAGUCCUUUAACAUAACAGCUAUUUUUCUUAGUCUUGGAGGAAUUCACACCACUCCUUUCCCCAGCUUUUUCCCCCAGUGGCAGGAGCAAAGAGGUGGUCUCAGAAUUUCUAGAAAGGCCUCAGUCCUCCCUACCCAACAACAGGCACAGCCUUGCUAGCAUUAUCUACCCUGAAACCAUCAGGAUUAAUCACAUUAUCCCUUUAUCCCUGUUUACAUCAUCACUGCAAGAAGCCGGUAGACUCCCAGGUCACCCUGCACCUCCUUUACUCCAAUCCCCAUAUAGCUCUUAAUCUCAUUCUCCUCCCUUCUUCUACCCUCCCCUACUCUCAGAAUGCAUCCCCUGUGCUCACUGUAAUGCCCAGUCUGUGAGCAGCAAAUUUCCUACAUACUCUAAACCUCUCCUGCAAAGGUCCCCUUUACUAUCCUGCUCCAGCUGAAAUCUAAAGCUCCCCAGAUGACUCCUUCCCCUGUAGCCCUCUGUAGUGGUGGCCUUUAUCUCUACCAUCUCUACUGCAUCCUACCUGACCACAGAGUGAGGGUGCUCCUUGCUCCUCAUUGCCAUUUUCAAACUCCUCCUCCCCCAAAUCCCCUGCUUUGAAUUGCAUGUCAUCAGAUAUACCCCCUACUGUCCCUUAUUGUCACUUGCUCUUAUUUCUCAGAGAGUUUAGCAGCUGAUUCAUGGUCACUUUCUCCAUUGGUCCUAACAUAAUUCUAGGUAAUUUCAAUAUCCAUUUGGUCAGCUUUCAGAAAUCCUGGCCUUAGUUCCUUGACCUCUUCUUCCUGUAAUUUUGCCUUUCACCCUUUAUCAGUCACUCACUAUGAAAUCUGUAGACCUUGGCAUUAUCUGUAACAGUAACUCCUUCAUAUUCUCAGUGUCAGGCAUCCCUCUAGUACCACCACUAUGCAUGCCAGAGCCCCGACUCCAGCAGCCCUCUUGUUCUGCCAAGACCUAUAGUCCCUUGACUCUAUCACCUUUCAGUUAUGGGUUAUGCCUCCUCCUCCUCAGAUCCUUUCAUAGCCUCGUUACCUAGCAUUAAAUCCCUUGGUCAGUUACUAGAAUCACUCCCUUGCAGGGAGUUCUAAUUAUUUGCUAAAAUCUAUCCUCCUUUCUUCCAAAAUCAGAGCAUUGUAGCUCAGCAGAGAGCUGACCAUACACACCACAUUUCUCAGGCUUCCUUGCAUUUGACUGUAGCCAUAGGACUAAAAUUUUUAUAAUAGAAUAUGACCCUAAGUAAUGUGUGGUGCCUGCAGGCUAGGCCCUUAAAACUAGGACAAUGCUUGCUCCUUACACUCUCUUUCCCCCUCCUGAUAACUGGUAAAAGAUGUGCCUGCUACCCAAUUUCUAGGAUUUAGAUGAGAAUAAAAGCCCUAGGUCAUGAAAGAGAAAUAAGGUAGAAGGCCCCUCAGUCCCUAAAUGAUCAUUUGAAGCUGAGACUCAAUGGCCUGGAAUGGUCAUUUCUGCUUAAAAUUGAAAUUUGUCAGAGAGAGAGAGCAAACAAGCAGGGGGAGUGGCAGGCGGAGGGAGAAGCAGGCUCCCCAUGGAGCAGAGAGCCCGAUGUGGGACUCGAUCCCAGGACCCUGGGAUCAUGACCUGAGCCAAAGGCAGAUGCUUAACCAUCUGAGCCACCCAGGCACCCCCCACCUUGAAAUUCAAGCUUCCUUCUCUUCCUGCUAUCACUUCAUCUUUCUGUUCCUGUUUAAAGCAAAAAAGCCCGAAAGAGAUACCUGUAUUUCUUGAAUUUAACUUUCAUCUUAUUUUCUUUUUUAAAAAAAUUAUUUUGAAAAAUUUCAAACAUAUGCAAGGGUAGAGAGACAGCAGAAUGACCUCCAUAUAUCAUCACCCAGUGUCAGCAAUUAUAAACAUUUUGUCAAUUUUAUUUAACCCAUCCUCCUUCCAUAAAUCAUCUGGACUGUUUUUUCUUCUUUUUUUAAAUUUGAGUAUUAUUGACAUAUAAUGUUACAUUAGUUUCAGGUGUACAACAUAGUGAUUCACUGAUUCACCUUCUCUUUUGGGCUAUUUUAAAGAAAGUUCCAGACAUCAUUUCACUGUAAAUACUCCAGCAUACAUUUCUAACAGAUAAGGACUGUAAAAAAUGACAGUCACAACACCAACUUAAUAUCCAACAAAUCUAAAUACAUGGUCAGAGUUUAAAUUUCCUAUAUUGUCUCAGAAACAUCUUUUUAUAAUAGAUUUGCUCAAAUCAGGCUCUAAACACACUGUGUUUGGCUGGUAUGUCCUUUAAGUCUUUCUUCAUCUGUAACAGUUUCCCCUCCACCCUUUUCUCAUGCCAUGUGAAUGUAUUUGUGUGUGUGUGUGUAUAUAUAUAUAUUUUUUUUUUUUAAGGUCAUUUUUUAAAAGAUUUUAUUUAUUUAUUCAUGAGAGAGAGAGAGGCAGAAGGAGAAGCAGGCUCCUGGUGGAGCAGGGAGCCUGACAUGGGACUCUAUCCCAGAACCCUGGGAUCAUGACCUGAGCUGAAGGCAGACACUUAACCGACUGAGCCACCCAGGCGCCCUUAAGGUCAUUUUUCCUGUAUAAGUUUCCACAUUCUGGAGUUGGCUAUUUGCAUCCUCAUGAUGUCAUCUAGCAUGUUCUUCUCUCCUGUAUUUCCUGGAAACUAGUAGUCAUAUCUUGAGGCUUGAUUCUCUGCUUUCUUCAAUCCAUUCCAGUCACACAUGCACCCUCCUACUACUGUGUGUGUGUUGUCAAGUUCAUUGAUGACCCAUAUUGCUAAAUCUAAUGGCCCAUUCUCAACCCUCUUCUUCCUUGAUCCAUUGGCAGUAUUUGAAUGGAUCACUUCAUCCUCCUUGGUGCAUUUCCUUUAUUUGGCUUAUUGGACACCACACUGUCAUGGUAUUACUUUGACUUACUUGUUGCUCCUUUUCAGUUUCUUUUGCUGGUUCCUGUUUACCAUUGCUACCUCUAAACGUUAGAGUGCUAUAGGAUUAUUUUUUGGUUCUCUUCUCUAUCUGCACAAAAUCCAUUGGUGAUCUCAUCCAGUUCUCAGGCUUUAAGUACCAUUUUAUACAUGCUGACUUUCUAAUUUAUAGCUUUAGCCUGGAUCUCUUCCAAGAAAUCCAAAUUCAUGUAGCCGACUGUAGAUUUGACAUAAUCAUUUGAGUGUCUAAUAAGCACCUCAAUUUGAUUAUGUCCAUAAUUUGACACCUGACCUUCCUCCAAAUCUGCUCCUCUCUUAGACUUCUCCAUCCCACUUGAUAGGAGCUCCAUCUUUCCAGUUGUUCAGGUCAAAAAUCUUAGAAUCAUUUUGGACACUUUCUUUCUCUCCACCCCAAAUAGAAUCUGUCAGCAAAUCCCACCGUCUGGUCAUUUAUCCCCACCUGCACUGUUGUCAUCUUGAUUCAGUCCAUUGUUUUUGUUUUUGUUUUUUCUUUAAAGAUUUGAUUUUAGGGCGCCUGGGUGGCUCAGUCGGUUAGGCGACUGCCUUCGGCUCAGGUCAUGAUCCUGGAGUCCCUGGAUCGA